CAACCCUCAAGCUCCGCUUGGUGUUGGGCCCUGCCCCCGCGGCCGGCCCCAAAGACAGUGGCGGCGCCGCUCGGCCCUAAGCGUAGUACAUCUCUCGCUCUAGGGCCCGGCGGUGGCCUGCCAGAACCCCAAACUCAUGU
This 140-nucleotide unclassified non-coding RNA is filed under the name uncultured Oidiodendron. RNAcentral's name for it is "sequence contains ITS2". The record is from RNAcentral. Lineage: Eukaryota; Fungi; Ascomycota; Leotiomycetes; Myxotrichaceae.